RNAcentral lists this ribosomal RNA (609 nucleotides) under Triticum aestivum (bread wheat). Its description in RNAcentral is "partial small subunit ribosomal RNA". Lineage: Eukaryota; Viridiplantae; Streptophyta; Magnoliopsida; Poales; Poaceae. The record is from RNAcentral.
AUGCAUGAGCACUUCACCGGUGUCAUGGGGCGUGGGGCUAACCACCCGGUGGAUUUCAACUGGGAGGCGCUUGACUUUGGUGACCACGACCUCUCCGACCUGGACAGCCUCAUCACCGAAGAGGAGGUGAGAGCCGCCAUCAACGAGAUGCCCAAUGACAAAGCCCCCGGCCCGGACGGUUUCACUGGAGCUUUCUUCAAGAAAUGUUGGCCCACCAUCAAGUCCGACUUCAUGUUGGCCAUUCAUUCCUUCAACAAUUUGCACUCGGCCAACCUCCAUUGGCUCAACUCCGCGAACAUCGUGCUUCUACCCAAAAAAGAGGGGGCUGAGGAGAUCGGCAAUUACAGACCUAUUAGCCUCAUCCACGCCAUUCCCAAAAUCAUCGCGAAGAUCCUUGCUUUGAGGCUUGGGCCUCACAUGCAUGCCCUCAUCUCCAACGCUCAGAGCGCUUUCAUCAAAAGGAGAUGCAUUCAUGACAACUUUAUGUACGUCAGGAGCCUUGCCCGCCGUUUCCAUAAAAGCAACACUCCGGCCCUGUUAUUCAAGCUUGACAUCCACAAAGCAUUCGAUUCGGUCAGAUGGGAGUACAUCAUUAGCCUUCUGCAGUGA